UUUAGUGUUAGAUGAAAGAUAUAAAAUAUAUCAGUCAGAAUUUGUACCUAAAUACUGUUUUCAUUUGGAAAAGCUAGUACGCAAGGCAAUUGAAGAUACUAAUGAAAAUUAUAUACCUGCAGAUAGAGAAAAAAGAACUCCAUUCGAAUGGUGUAUGUUUACUAUUGUGCAUGAAACAUUGCAAUUAUAAAAUAGAAUAUUUUUAAUUUCUAAUAAUUAACGAAUUACAUUUUAAUAUUUUCUCCAUAUAAAUUUAAAAGACACAAGAUUUUUUUUUUAAGUGUAUAAUAUAUUUUUUUAAAUAGCUUUAAAAAAGGUUGUAUUAAUAUUGAAAGUU
Long non-coding RNA from Aphis gossypii (cotton aphid), 337 nucleotides. RefSeq lists it as uncharacterized. NCBI's taxonomy places the organism in Eukaryota, Metazoa, Arthropoda, Insecta, Hemiptera, Aphididae. The record is from RefSeq and is a predicted model, not a curated record. The transcript has 4 exons.